AUUGAACGCUGGCGGCAGGCCUAACACAUGCAAGUCGAACGGUAACAGGAAGCAGCUUGCUGCUUCGCUGACGAGUGGCGGACGGGUGAGUAAUGUCUGGGAAGCUGCCUGAUGGAGGGGGAUAACUACUGGAAACGGUAGCUAAUACCGCAUAAUGUCGCAAGACCAAAGAGGGGGACCUUCGGGCCUCUUGCCAUCGGAUGUGCCCAGAUGGGAUUAGCUUGUUGGUGGGGUAACGGCUCACCAAGGCGACGAUCCCUAGCUGGUCUGAGAGGAUGACCAGCCACACUGGAACUGAGACACGGUCGAGACUCCUACGGGAGGCAGCAGUGGGGAAUAUUGCACAAUGGGCGCAAGCCUGAUGCAGCCAUGCCGCGUGUAUGAAGAAGGCCUUCGGGUUGUAAAGUACUUUCAGCGGGGAGGAAGGGAGUAAAGUUAAUACCUUUGCUCAUUGACGUUACCCGCAGAAGAAGCACCGGCUAACUCCGUG
This 490-nucleotide ribosomal RNA is filed under the name uncultured bacterium. RNAcentral describes it as "partial 16S ribosomal RNA". It matches the Rfam family "Bacterial small subunit ribosomal RNA", at positions 30 to 507 of the family's 1533-position model. The record is from RNAcentral.